This 497-nucleotide ribosomal RNA is filed under the name uncultured bacterium. RNAcentral's name for it is "partial 16S ribosomal RNA". It matches the Rfam family "Bacterial small subunit ribosomal RNA", at positions 28 to 507 of the family's 1533-position model. The record is from RNAcentral.
GAUGAACGCUGGCGGCGUGCCUAAUACAUGCAAGUCGAGCGAACGGACGAGAAGCUUGCUUCUCUGAUGUUAGCGGCGGACGGGUGAGUAACACGUGGAUAACCUACCUAUAAGACUGGGAUAACUUCGGGAAACCGGAGCUAAUACCGGAUGAUAUUUUGAACCGCAUGGUUCAAAAGUGAAAGACGGUCUUGCUGUCACUUAUAGAUGGAUCCGCGCUGCAUUAGCUAGUUGGUAAGGUAACGGCUUACCAAGGCAACGAUGCAUAGCCGACCUGAGAGGGUUAUCGGCCACACUGGAACUGAGACACGGUCCAGACUCCUACGGGAGGCAGCAGUAGGGAAUCUUCCGCAAAGGGCGAAAGCCUGACGGAGCAACGCCGCGUGAGUGAUGAAGGUCUUCGGAUCGUAAAACUCUGUUAUUAGGGAAGAACAUAUGUGUAAGUAACUGUGCACAUCUUGACGGUACCUAAUCAGAAAGCCACGGCUAACUACGUG